RNAcentral lists this small RNA (77 nucleotides) under Rickettsia prowazekii. Its description in RNAcentral is "partial sR38 non-coding RNA". Lineage: Bacteria; Pseudomonadati; Pseudomonadota; Alphaproteobacteria; Rickettsiales; Rickettsiaceae. The record is from RNAcentral.
AUACAGUUAUUACUGUAAGCUUGAUAAGCUUUAAUAAACAAUUUAAUCAAAGAAUGGGGCAUACAACUAAUUUCAGC